This 340-nucleotide RNase P RNA is filed under the name Terasakiella magnetica. Its description in RNAcentral is "Candidatus Terasakiella magnetica RNaseP_bact_a". It matches the Rfam family "Bacterial RNase P class A", at positions 43 to 351 of the family's 367-position model. From Rfam's summary of the family: Ribonuclease P (RNase P) is a ubiquitous endoribonuclease, found in archaea, bacteria and eukarya as well as chloroplasts and mitochondria. Lineage: Bacteria; Pseudomonadati; Pseudomonadota; Alphaproteobacteria; Rhodospirillales; Terasakiellaceae. The record is from RNAcentral.
GAGGAAAGUCCGGGCUUCAUGGAUAUACGGUGCCGGAUAACGUCCGGCGAGGGUGACCUUAGGGAAAGUGCCACAGAAAGCAAACCUCCACACAAGCUUCGGCGUAACGUGUGGUAAGGGUGAAAGGGUGCGGUAAGAGCGCACCGCCCGCCUAGCAAUAGGAGGGGCACGGUAAACCCCACCGGGAGCAAGACCGAAUAGGGAUGGACGGCGGAUUAAACGGGCCGCAGAUGUAUAUUCACAUCACGCAUCCGGGUGUGUCGCGCGAGGCAUUUGGCAACAAAUGUCCCAGACGAAUGAUCAUCUAUCCUGCUUUUGCAGGGGGACAGAACCCGGCUUA